Molecule: long non-coding RNA, 238 nt
Filed under: Solanum tuberosum (potato)
Lineage: Eukaryota; Viridiplantae; Streptophyta; Magnoliopsida; Solanales; Solanaceae
Description: long non-coding RNA (STUB_LNC001829)
Source: RNAcentral
AGCUGUCACGCGGAUGAAAUUUUAUGAACAAAUUAAGUUUUGUACAUGCCUUUUUGACAAUUAUAUUCAAAUACUUGAUCUAAUCAACUUUGAGAUGGAGAAACUAACUUUCUUCCAUGAUAAAAAAAAGCGUGAAAAAAAUCCAUCAGUAAGAACCAUUCUGAUUCUGAAAAGGUCACCCUCAAUCAAACAGAUACACCAGCUAAUUAAAAACAACAAUGUUGCAUGUGAUUGAAAC